UCCCUCAUAGCUCAGUUGGUAAAGAAUCUGCCUGCAACGCAGGAGACCCAGGUUUGAUUCCUGGGUCGGGAA
Molecule: transfer RNA, 72 nt
Filed under: Bos taurus (domestic cattle)
Lineage: Eukaryota; Metazoa; Chordata; Mammalia; Artiodactyla; Bovidae
Also listed under: 5 other names
Rfam family: tRNA
About the family: Transfer RNA (tRNA) molecules are approximately 80 nucleotides in length.
Source: Rfam by way of RNAcentral